Molecule: ribosomal RNA, 253 nt
Filed under: uncultured bacterium
Lineage: Bacteria
Description: partial 16S ribosomal RNA
Rfam family: Bacterial small subunit ribosomal RNA
Source: RNAcentral
UACGUAGGGACCGAGCGUUGUCCGGAAUCAUUGGGCGUAAAGAGCGUGUAGGCGGCUUGUUAAGUCUUGCGUGAAAUCUCGGGGCUCAACCCCGAGCGGUCGUGAGAAACUGGCAGGCUAGAGUGCGGGAGAGGAGAGUGGAAUUCCUGGUGUAGCGGUGAAAUGCGUAGAUAUGCGGAGGAACACCGAUGGCGAAGGCAGAUCUCUGGGCCGUAACUGACGCUGAGGAGCGAAAGCGUGGGGAGCGAACAGG